AGGCAGCCUUUCUAGAAGCUGGUUCUUUCUAAGGAUACCAGGCUCCUUCCUAGAAGUCUUUGAUUGUCCUGCAACAAAUGCAUUGAUGACAAAAUGGAAUGCAGUGCUCAGCCCUCCUGGCCUCCUGCCUGAUUCACUUCGGAGUGCACCACAUGGGUGGAAGAGCUGCCCCCACCACAUACAGCCCUCACCCACAGUGUGAUGGAUAGAACCAGGACAGGCCUACCAGGAGCCCUCCUACCACACACUGUGGCUUCUGUGAAAGGACUAAAUUUAGGACCUGAAACCAGCUGAAAUGGGGACAGCAGAGCCUGCUGCGCUGCAGCUGCCCAUCCAGGUAAGGAAACCAUGGCACAGAGAGGUUAGCAACAUGCCCCAAAUCACAUAGAAAGGCCUCCCUGUCUGCACACCGAGAGACCGAAUAUACAAACGGACAAUGGCCAAACCGUAUAUGAUAAUAGAACUCUG
Molecule: long non-coding RNA, 468 nt
Filed under: Pongo abelii (Sumatran orangutan)
Lineage: Eukaryota; Metazoa; Chordata; Mammalia; Primates; Hominidae
Description: lincRNA
Source: RNAcentral